This 300-nucleotide signal recognition particle RNA is filed under the name Vombatus ursinus (common wombat). RNAcentral's name for it is "Metazoan signal recognition particle RNA (ENSVURG00010003086.1)". It matches the Rfam family "Metazoan signal recognition particle RNA". From Rfam's summary of the family: The signal recognition particle (SRP) is a universally conserved ribonucleoprotein. It is involved in the co-translational targeting of proteins to membranes. Lineage: Eukaryota; Metazoa; Chordata; Mammalia; Diprotodontia; Vombatidae. The record is from Rfam by way of RNAcentral.
GCCAGGCAUGGUGGUACACACCUGUGAUACCAGCUACUGGGAGGCUGAGAUUGGCCUGUCUCUUGAGCUCAGGAGUUCUGAACUGCAGUGGGCUAUGCUAAUGGAUUGUCCACUAAGCUCAGUCCUGAUAGGAUGAGCCCCUCAGAGAAGAGGGCUACUGGGUUGUCUAAAGAGGGGCAAAUUGGCUCUGGUUGGAAACAGAGCAAGUCAAAACUCUUGUGUCAGUCAGUGGCAGGAUCAGGACUAUAAGUAGCUUCUGGACUUCCAACCUGCAGACAAGAUAAGGAGACCCUGUCUUUC